UGUGUGUUAGUGGAAGCGUCUGGAAAGGCGCGCGAUACAGGGUGACAGCCCCGUACACAAAAAUGCACAUGCUGUGAGCUCGAUGAGUAGGGCGGGACACGUGGUAUCCUGUCUGAAUAUGGGGGGACCAUCCUCCAAGGCUAAAUACUCCUGACUGACCGAUAGUGAACCAGUACCGUGAGGGAAAGGCGAAAAGAACCCCGGCGAGGGGAGUGAAAAAGAACCUGAAACCGUGUACGUACAAGCAGUGGGAGCACGCUUAGGCGUGUGACUGCGUACCUUUUGUAUAAUGGGUCAGCGACUUAUAUUCUGUAGCAAGGUUAACCGAAUAGGGGAGCCGAAGGGAAACCGAGUCUUAACUGGGCGUUAAGUUGCAGGGUAUAGACCCGAAACCCGGUGAUCUAGCCAUGGGCAGGUUGAAGGUUGGGUAACACUAACUGGAGGACCGAACCGACUAAUGUUGAAAAAUUAGCGGAUGACUUGUGGCUGGGGGUGAAAGGCCAAUCAAACCGGGAGAUAGCUGGUUCUCCCCGAAAGCUAUUUAGGUAGCGCCUCGUGAAUUCAUCUCCGGGGGUAGAGCACUGUUUCGGCAAGGGGGUCAUCCCGACUUACCAACCCGAUGCAAACUGCGAAUACCGGAGAAUGUUAUCACGGGAGACACACGGCGGGUGCUAACGUCCGUCGUGAAGAGGGAAACAACCCAGACCGCCAGCUAAGGUCCCAAAGUCAUGGUUAAGUGGGAAACGAUGUGGGAAGGCCCAGACAGCCAGGAUGUUGGCUUAGAAGCAGCCAUCAUUUAAAGAAAGCGUAAUAGCUCACUGGUCGAGUCGGCCUGCGCGGAAGAUGUAACGGGG
RNAcentral lists this ribosomal RNA (854 nucleotides) under Escherichia coli. Its description in RNAcentral is "partial 23S ribosomal RNA". It matches the Rfam family "Bacterial large subunit ribosomal RNA", at positions 323 to 1180 of the family's 2925-position model. Lineage: Bacteria; Pseudomonadati; Pseudomonadota; Gammaproteobacteria; Enterobacterales; Enterobacteriaceae. The record is from RNAcentral.